GGCAUCUGGUGGUGCUGCUGGUGCUUCAUCCCUUCUUUUUGUUUACUCUCUUGACUAUGCCCGUACCCGAUUAGCAAACGACGCCAAAGCUGCCAAGAAAGGUGGAGAAAGGCAAUUCAAUGGACUGGUUGAUGUCUACAGGAAGACAUUGCAGUCUGAUGGUAUUGCUGGUCUUUACCGUGGAUUUAACAUCUCUUGUGUUGGUAUCAUCGUUUACCGUGGUUUAUACUUUGGAAUGUAUGAUUCUCUCAAGCCUGUUUUGUUGACCGGGAAGAUGCAGGAUAGCUUCUUCGCUAGUUUUGCCUUGGGUUGGCUCAUCACCAAUGGUGCU
This 331-nucleotide unclassified non-coding RNA is filed under the name Hevea brasiliensis (rubber tree). Lineage: Eukaryota; Viridiplantae; Streptophyta; Magnoliopsida; Malpighiales; Euphorbiaceae. The record is from RNAcentral.